AUUGAACGCUGGCGGCACGCCUAACACAUGCAAGUCGAGCGGUAGCAUGGCUAGUAGCAAUACUAGCUGAUGACGAGCGGCGGACGGGUGAGGAACACGUAGGAACCUGCCCUUUAGCGGGGGACAACCAAGGGAAACUUUGGCUAAUACCGCGUAAUCUCGAAAGAGGAAAGCUGCCAGCAAUGGUGGCGCUAAAGGAGGGGCCUGCGUCCGAUUAGUUAGUUGGUGAGGUAAAGGCUCACCAAGACUGUGAUCGGUAACUGGUAUUAGAGGACGGCCAGUCACACUGGGACUGAGACACGGCCCAGACUCCUACGGGAGGCAGCAGUGGGGAAUCUUGGACAAUGGGGGCAACCCUGAUCCAGCGAUGCCGCGUGAGUGAAGAAGGCCUUCGGGUCGUAAAGCUCUUUAGGCUGGGAAGAAGUUUGUUAGUUUAAGAGAUAAACAAAUUGACUGUACCGGCAGAAUAAGCACCGGCAAACUCUGUGCCAGCCGCCGCCGUAA
RNAcentral lists this ribosomal RNA (504 nucleotides) under uncultured bacterium. RNAcentral describes it as "partial 16S ribosomal RNA". It matches the Rfam family "Bacterial small subunit ribosomal RNA", at positions 30 to 523 of the family's 1533-position model. The record is from RNAcentral.